CUAAGGGCACAUGGUGGAUGCCUUGGCACUUCGAGGCGAUGAAGGACGUGGCAAGCUGCGAUAAGCUACGGUGAGGAGCAAGCAUCCUUUGAUCCGUAGAUUUCCGAAUGGGGGAACCCACAUGAGCAAUACUCAUGUACUCCCGCCUGAAUCUAUAGGGCGGGUAGAGCGAACCGGGGGAAGUGAACCAUCUCAGUACCCCGAGGAAGAGAAAACAAUAGUGAUUCCGUCAGUAGCGGCGAGCGAAAGCGGAUCAGCCUAAACCGACAGGGCAUGCUCUGUCGGGGUCGUGGGAUCAGAGUUAGGAGUUACAAAGGUUCAGGUUAGCGGAACAGUCUGGAAAGGCUGGCCAUAGGGCGUGAUAGCCGCGUACGCGAAAACUUGGAACUCUCCGUUAUGCUUUGACACCCGAGUAAUGCGGGACACGAGGAAUCCUGCAUGAAUUUGCCGGGACCAUCCGGUAAGGCUAAAUACUCCGAAGUGACCGAUAGUGAACCAGUACCGUGAGGGAAAGGUGAAAAGAACCCCGGUGAGGGGAGUGAAAUAGUACCUGAAACCAUGUGCUUACAAGCAGUGGAAGGCCAAGGUUCGUCCUGGCUGACCGCGUGCCUUUUGCAUAAUGAGCCGGCUAGUGAAUGUCACACGCAAGGUUAAACGAUAAGUGAGCCGAAGCGAAAGCGAGUCCUAAUAAGGCGUUUAGUGUGUGGUAUUCGGACGUGAAGCGAGAUGAUCUAGGCAUGGGCAGGCUGAAGCGUGGGUAACACCACGUGAAGGGCCGAACCAGUAUGGGUUGAAAACCGUUUGGAUGACCUGUGCUUAGGGGUGAAAGGCUAAUCAAAUUUCGUGAUAGCUCGUUCUCGCCGAAAUAGCUUUAGGGCUAGCCUCGGAUGAAUCGUCGCGGUGGUAGAGCACUGAAUGGGCUAGGGGCCUCACAAGGUUACUGAACCCAAUCAAACUUCGAAUGCCGCUAACGAAUAUCCGGGAGUCAGACUGCGAGUGCUAAGAUCCGUAGUCGAGAGGAAAACAGUCCAGACCGACAACUAAGGUCCCCAAAUUGUGGUUAAGUGGGAAAGGAAGUAGGGAAGCAUUGACAGCCAGGAGGUUGGCUUAGAAGCAGCCAUCCUUUAAAGAAAGCGUAAUAGCUCACUGGUCAAGCAGCCCUGCGCCGACAAUAUAACGGGGCUUAAACCACAUACCGAAGUUUCGGAAUUUGAGAUCUCAACUGUCAGAUCUCUAUACUCAAAUUCUCAUUUCAUAAUUGAAAUCCGACAUUUGAGAGAAACGAAGUAGAUCGCCGUCUGUCAAACGACCGCAAUCUCACUUCGAGAUCUGAGGGCUGAGAUCUCAAGUUGGUAGGCGAGCAUUCCGUAGCUGCGAAGCGGGACCGAAAGGACCGUUGGAGCGAUCGGAAAAGACUCUGUCGGCAUAAGUAGCGAUAACGCGGGCGAGAACCCCGCGCGCCGUAAACCUAAGGUUUCCUGAGUAAAGUUAAUCUGCUCAGGGUGAGUCGGUACCUAAGGCGAGGCCGAAAGGCGUAGUCGAUGGAAAUCCGGUUAAAAUUCCGGAACCAGUAGCAGUGCCGUGGGGGGACGCAGUAGGGUAGGUGAGACCGGUGAUGGAUAUCCGGUUGAACCGUCAUAGCCCGUCGCUUUGGUAAAUCCGGGCGACAUUAAGGGUAAGGACGGGGACGAAAGUAGGGGUGAAACCCGAAAAAAGUCACUGACCCCAGCUGCCAGGAAAAUCCUCGAUCGGCUUCAACUGCAUCACUGACCGUACCGCAAACCGACACAGGUAGGUGGGGCGAGAAUCCUAAGGCGCUUGUGAGAACUCUCGUUCAGGAACUCGGCAAAAUGUACCCGUAACUUCGGGAGAAGGGUAGCCCACCUUAGACGUGGGUCGCAGAGAAAUGUCCCAGGCGACUGUUUACUAAAAACACAGGUCUCCGCAAAGUCGUCAAGACGACGUAUGGGGGCUGACGCCUGCCCAAUGCUGGAAGGUUAAGAGGAGUGGUCAGCCGCAAGGCGAAGCUACGAAUCGAAGCCCCAGUGAAUGGCGGCCGUAACUAUAACGGUCCUAAGGUAGCGAAAUUCCUUGUCGGGUAAGUUCCGACCUGCACGAAUGGCGUAACGAUCUGGGAGCUGUCUUAACGAGAGACACAGCGAACUUGUAGUACCGGUGAAGAUGCCGGUUUCCCGCAUCUAGACGGAAAGACCCCGUGCACCUUUACUAUAACUUGACAGUGAUUUCGGGCAAACGAUGCGCAGGAUAGAUGGGAGGCUUUGAACUCGCCCUUUUGGGGGCGGGGGAGCCAACGGUGAGAUACCAUCCUUCGUUUGUCUGGACUCUAACCUACCGCCGUUAUCCGGCGGAGGGACACUAUCAGGCGGGUAGUUUGACUGGGGCGGUCGCCUCCUAAAGAGUAACGGAGGCGCUCGAAGGUUGGCUCAGGCUGUUUGGAAAUCAGCCGUAGAGUGUAAACGCAUAAGCCAGCUUGACUGCGAGACAGACAAGUCGAGCAGGUACGAAAGUAGGAGUUAGUGAUCCGGCGGUUCUGUAUGGAAGGGCCGUCGCUCAACGGAUAAAAGGUACGCCGGGGAUAACAGGCUGAUCCUGCCCAAGAGUUCACAUCGACGGCAGGGUUUGGCACCUCGAUGUCGGCUCAUCGCAUCCUGGGGCUGAAGAAGGUCCCAAGGGUCCGGCUGUUCGCCGGUUAAAGCGGUACGUGAGCUGGGUUUAGAACGUCGUGAGACAGUUCGGUCCCUAUCUGGUGUGGGCGCAGCAGGAUUGAGGGAAUCUGUCCUUAGUACGAGAGGACCGGGAUGGAUCCACCUCUAGUGUACGAGUUAUGGCGCCAGCCGUAACGCUCGGUAGCUAUGUGGAGCAUGGAUAAACGCUGAAUGCAUCUAAGCGUGAAGCCAGACCUAAGAUUAGUCCUGACCGCGAGACUCCUGGUAGACCACCAGGUUGAUAGGCUGGAAAUGUAAGUGCAGUAAUGUGCUCAGUUGACCAGUACUAAUCAGUCCCUAGGCUUGACC
Molecule: ribosomal RNA, 3035 nt
Filed under: Blastocatellia bacterium
Lineage: Bacteria; Pseudomonadati; Acidobacteriota; Blastocatellia
Description: bacterial LSU rRNA
Rfam family: Bacterial large subunit ribosomal RNA
Source: RNAcentral